This 913-nucleotide long non-coding RNA is filed under the name Phascolarctos cinereus (koala). Its description in RNAcentral is "lncRNA (ENSPCIG00000012190.2)". The record is from RNAcentral. Lineage: Eukaryota; Metazoa; Chordata; Mammalia; Diprotodontia; Phascolarctidae.
GUAUGAAGUAACAAGCCAAAAGAUUCUAGGUAUUCAUGUGGAAGAGAGGCUGUAGUGGUGGUGGUGGCGGUGGUGGUAUUUAUGUAGGGUGACGGGAGAUGUUUAAAAACCAGUGGGCACAGGGCUGGCUGGGAGGAACCAUAUGACAUGUGGUAGAGAAGAGAGGAAGAAAAGAGAGAGAGAGAGAAAAAGAAUGAAGACAAAAAAACAAGUAACUGGAACAGAACAGCUGAGGAGGAAAUGCUAAGUGGCAAAAUGUAACAGAAGAGUAGAUCUCUCUGAGCGGCCAUGGACUCAUCAAGGAGACCCUGCAGUGUUUUGAUGCCAGGCAUAUCGGAGCUGGUUUAAUCUCGUUAGGACAGUCAUCUCUAGACACCUGGUGUGCUGAUAUUUGGGCCACAACAAAAGGAAGAAUAAUAAUCAAUGAAGGUUUGUCUGAGAGACUGCCGUCGGAUUCAGUACAUUCAGUUCCAGUAAACUCCCAUCUCCCCUUGUCGUUAAGAGACGUCCCAGUCAUAAUCACCUUCAUACCAUGGCGUAUCACUGGGGCAGCUGAAAGUUUUGUAGGAAAGGGGGUAGAUUUUUUCUCAAAAUAGUUUCAGUGGUUUUCCACCCCUCAUGUCAUGGUCAAAGGGGUGCUAGGUAUUAAUGCAAGAAAUCUGGGCUGAAACAAACAAGGAGUAGAAGGAUAAGGCAGGAAAAAGAUUAACUACACUGGAAAAGGAUAGAUACUUAAUGUCUAAAGCAGAGAUAGUUUAAUGCAAAUGAGUCUUAUGGAUCUCAGAGAGACCCACAGGGCCAGAAAUUUUGCCCCAACACACUCAUCACAGAGUUCUAAGAGACUGGAUUAUUUGGUUGUGAUGAUUUUGUUGGUAUAUGAAAUAUUGCUUACAAAAAAUCAUAAACAUUGUCU